GUGCUAUCACAGCUCACUGCAGCCUUGAACUCCUGGGCUAAGGAUCCUCCUACCUGAGCCUCCUGAGUAGCUAGGACUGGUCUCCCUCUGUUGUCCAAGGCUGGAGUGUAGUAGUGCUAUCACAGCUGACUGCAGCCUCAACCUUCCAGGCUGAAGUGAUUCUCCCAUCUCAACCUCCCACGUGGCUGAGACUACAGGUGCUUGCCACUAUGCCCAACUAAUAUUUGGAAUUUUCAUAUAAGUGGAUUCCAGAGUGGUGACAGCAAAACUGACCUCACAAUGACUCAAGCUACCACUUACUGUUGAUUGUGACGAAAUGCCAGCUGAGGCACAUGCCUUGGGAGCUAAGUGGUUACUGCACUUGACCACUAUGAAGACUGGUGUGGGAAGGGUCGCUUUGGAUGCACUUGAGCAGGGCUCCCCAACCCCUGAGCCAUGGAGCCGUAAGGAGCCACACAGCAGGAGGUGGGACCAUCCAGUUGCAGGAAAACAAGCUUAACAUGCCCACUGAUUCUACAUUAUGCUCCUACCUCCCGGCAGCCUCUCCAGGCCCAGAACUUUCUCCAGUCAGCCUCUACAGACCAAGCUCAUGACUCACAAUGGCCUAUUUAGGCCCAUACCCUACCUCACGGCAGUCUCCGCAGAUGAGCCUACUGCCUCACAACAGCCUCCACAGGCACAGCUCCAUCGUUACAAUGGCCUCUUUAGACCCAGCUCCUGCCUCCCAGCCUUCUCUCUAGGCCCUGAACUUUCUGAAGUCGACCUCACCA
Molecule: long non-coding RNA, 770 nt
Filed under: Homo sapiens (human)
Lineage: Eukaryota; Metazoa; Chordata; Mammalia; Primates; Hominidae
Description: novel transcript
Source: RNAcentral